Molecule: ribosomal RNA, 393 nt
Filed under: uncultured bacterium
Lineage: Bacteria
Description: partial 16S ribosomal RNA
Rfam family: Bacterial small subunit ribosomal RNA
Source: RNAcentral
CCUACGGGAGGCAGCAGUGAGGAAUAUUGGUCAAUGGACGAGAGUCUGAACCAGCCAAGUAGCGUGAAGGAUGACUGCCCUAUGGGUUGUAAACUUCUUUUGUCAAGGAAUAAAACGAGUCACGUGUGGCUUUUUGAAAGUACUCUAUGAAUAAGGAUCGGCUAACUCCGUGCCAGCAGCCGCGGUAAUAGGGAGGAUGCGAGCGUUAUCCGGAUUUAUUGGGUUUAAAGGGUGCGCAGGCGGAUGUGCAAGUCAGUGGGAAAAUUUCGGGGCUCAACCUCGUACUGCCAUUGAUACUGGAACUCUUGAGUGCGCGAGAGGUAUGCGGAAUGCGUGGUGUAGCGGUGAAAUGCAUAGAUAUCACGAAGAACCCCGAUUGCGAAGGCAGCAUAC